AACGAACGCUGGCGGCGUGCCUAACACAUGCAAGUCGAACGAGAAAGCGGGCUUCGGCCCGCCGGUAAAGUGGCAGACGGGUGAGUAACACGUGGGUAACCUGCCCGAAGGUGGGGGAUAACCCUCCGAAAGGAGGGCGUAAUACCGCAUGAUAUUCCAGGGAUUGCGGUCUUUGGAAUCAAAGCUAGCCUCUAUUUAUAAGCUAGCGCCAUCGGAGGGGCCCGGCGGCCCAUUAGCUAGUUGGUGAGGUAACGGCUCACCAAGGCAACGAUGGGUAGCCGGCCUGAGAGGGCGAUCGGCCACACUGGAACUGAGACACGGUCCAGACUCCUACGGGAGGCAGCAGUGAGGAAUAUUGCGCAAUAGGGGGAAACCCUGACGCAGCGACGCCGCGUGGAGGACGAAGGCCU
This 410-nucleotide ribosomal RNA is filed under the name uncultured bacterium. RNAcentral describes it as "bacterial SSU rRNA". It matches the Rfam family "Bacterial small subunit ribosomal RNA", at positions 29 to 417 of the family's 1533-position model. The record is from RNAcentral.